Pelobates cultripes (western spadefoot toad) is the source of this 1257-nucleotide non-coding RNA. Lineage: Eukaryota; Metazoa; Chordata; Amphibia; Anura; Pelobatidae. The record is from the annotation of a GenBank genome assembly.
AAUAAAGUACAAUUUUAUUAAAGAUACGUCAAGACAUAAAGAUACAACAGAGCCAAAAAGAGGCUCCACGGCUAUAAAGGAGGAGAAGAUAUGUACUGUACUAGUCAGGAAUUGGCUAGAGGGAUAGAAGUGGGAGUAGGGAGUGCAAUACGUCAGUGUCUUGGACAAGUCCAGUAUCCACUGCAUAUAGCAAAUAAUGUGACCAUGAUGGUUAAGCAAGGAAACUAUAAAGAAACUCCUCAGUAGCUUGCACCAUCAAUAUACAAGGUCAAAUAAGAAAAUGCAGGGAAUAGAGACAAUGUGUCUAUUGGGUGUAAAAGACUGUUUCCCUGUGUAACAAUAUGUCCAACAAUAUAUAUGUGGACUAUUACAGAUUAUGAUCUGUUAGUUACACAUAAAUGAAAGAAGGAAACAUUCAUCAACCUUCUUGUAUCUAUUUUAGUAGUAGUUCGACUUCAUGGUCGCUAACUAAAGAAAUGUAUUUAAAAAGAAGGUUUGAUGAAAAAAGAAAACAAUGGUUCUAUACCCUAUGCCUCCAAAAAUCUCCCAGUACUCCCCUAAUAAAGUUACCUAGCUCCCUCUAUAAGCGUCCCUAAUAGAAUAUAUCGUUGCUUAAUAAUCCCCCAUAAUAAUCUGAAAUCAAAUCACCAUAAAUGCUGAUAAACUUGUGCAGUGAAAAAAAAUUAAAAGCAAAAGUAAACCGAUGCACGUUUCAGCGCUACUAUAGGUCCUUCGUCCGGGGCGUUCCAAAUUAAAAGCUUUAGACAGUAUACAGUGUCUUUAAAUCUUGCAAUAUUUCACACAGGAUCUGAAAUGUUAGCAUAAAAACAACAUUUACAUUUUUCUCACAUACAAUAGGUGUGACAAAAUAUAUAUAAAUAAAAAUUGGUCAAAUACUUUGUAAGGUCCCUAAAGGCACCUGAAUGUUGUAACAAUGCCCACACACAAUAAAUACAGUAAAAUCAUAUAUUUCUAUAAUAAAGGUAUUUAAAACUGCUAUAGCACUCUUUAUCAGUCUCGGCUAAUGUAAUGCUGAUGUUGAAUGGUAUAGACCAUUCACUUAUUUCCCCUGCCCCCCUCACUGUAAGAAUGCAAUCACCCAGUAAAACUUCCUGUAUCUAUUUGAUUGUGAGCUUUCAUUUUCAGCAACUUUGCAUUCAUUAUAUCAGUGACUAGUGUCUUAUGGUAGAGAAGUUUGUUCCUCUACACUAGGCUGGUAAUUAUAACUAGAGUAUAAAUGAGGGUGGGUAAGGCUUU